RNAcentral lists this long non-coding RNA (1196 nucleotides) under Sinocyclocheilus grahami. RNAcentral's name for it is "lncRNA (ENSSGRG00000053305.1)". Lineage: Eukaryota; Metazoa; Chordata; Actinopteri; Cypriniformes; Cyprinidae. The record is from RNAcentral.
CUCUUCUCUCUAUCUCUCUCUCUCUCUCUCUCUCUCUCUCUCUCUCUCUCUCUCUCUUAUCUUAUCUGGUUGGUUAUAGGUGUCCUUCCAGUGUUGAAAUACGAGGGUGUGGUUAUAGAGGGAAGGUAAUUAGUACAGAAAAUCCCUGUUCCUGUUUUAUUUGAGCUCAUUCAUUGCCAUCAGCCACAUAACCUGCUGAAACAGCAUAACUAGAUGGCGUACUCCACACAAACACUGGCUGGAGGCUGCUUUGGAAAAAUAUACAGGGAGAAGUACGGAGACACAUGGGCUGCUGUGAAGAGAGUUCCUAUAGGAGUCAUCAGCAAACAACAGCUGGAGAGAGAAUGCAGAGUAUAUCAUAAUGCUCGGCAUACACACGUGGUGAAGCUUCUCGGUGAUCCUUGGCUAAAAGACUCUAAGUGGAACAUUCCUUUGGAGUUUAUCUCUGGGGAAGAUCUUGAGACGACCAUCUUCAAAGUACAGCUUUCUAAAAUACAGCUGACUCCAGCAGUGAAAGCCACAAUCAUCACUGGCAUGUGUGAAGGCUUGUUGUUUCUGCACACUAAAGACAUCGUCCACCAAGACCUCAAACCUGAUAACAUUAUGGUGGAGCAUCAAACCUAUCGUGCCGUGAUCAUUGAUCUAGGAAUGGCUAAAUUCUUUAGAAAUGGACUCACCUCUGCAGUAAACUUGGGCAAUGAAGCGUACUCGGCACCAGAGAUCCUGCAGAUGAAUGGCGUUCGUGACAAGCGCUCAGACGUUUGGGCCAUGGGUAAAAUCAUAGCUGAACUCUGCGCCAGGAUCAGGUUACCCACCCAAUUUGUUUCUCCCGUCAAGAUUCGUGAAACUCUAAAAGACCAGCCAUACUGUAAUCCAGUAUCCAAAAUGGUGGAACCCAAUCCCACGUACAGAACUACUAUGGCUGGAGUCAUUGCAGACAUCAGGAGAGCUCCUUCAGCUCAACCAACAGACAUUAGACCAAAAGACAUCACAAGAGACAUUACAAGAGACAUCACAAGAGACAUCACAAGAGACAUCACAAGAGACAUUACAAGAGACAUCACAAGAGAUAUCACAAGAGAUAUCAUAGAGAAACAUGGAAAUGACAUGAGGCCAAAUCAAAAGUGGUGUCCACCAGGACCUCCUGUUCCUAAAGUGGAGCUAAAAAAACCUCCUAUUGUAUAUUAUCGACAGAG